Zootoca vivipara (common lizard) is the source of this 1473-nucleotide long non-coding RNA. RefSeq lists it as uncharacterized. Lineage: Eukaryota; Metazoa; Chordata; Lepidosauria; Squamata; Lacertidae. The record is from RefSeq and is a predicted model, not a curated record.
UCCUCCGUCCGAGGCAGCGCGCAUGCGCGGUGGGGGCGGGCUGCUCGGCUCUCUCCGCCCCUUGGUCCCCCCUCCUCUCGUCCGCGCUCCUCUCUCGGAGGAAGUCAAUUUGGCCAAUGGAUCCCGUAUGCAACUAGAGGUACCACUGUAUAUAGGAUUGUGCUGGAUGCUACCGAAUAUUAGUGGUAGCAAUUGUUCAGAGAUUCUUCUCUUCAUUUUACCUGCCAUUCUUAAGUAUGACACUCCAAGCUGUAAGGUGAAGCUCACAACAGCCUGCACUGCUCACCGAAAAGCAGCUGUUUCUCAGAAGGUUGCCUUGCCAUGAGUGCUGUAUCCCAGAGCAUGCUGCAGUUGGGCCAGUGUUCUCCCUUGUGCCCCAAAGAAAGAGACACGCUCACUGGGGAAAUGGCGAGGUUCAUUCCGUGGUGGAGCUCUUAUUUUCUUCUCAAGCUGUUGGACCACAGCAGAAAGUUUCUGAACAUGGACAUGGAAAUAAGCAUUACCUUCAUGCUUCCUUUUGUUCUCCAUCAGAGGGGCAGCUCUACAGGGAAACAAAGGGCCACAUGCGAUGAGAUUAUCUAAACCUCAAAAUAGGCCUCAGACAGAGACCAUAUGGUCUGAGGUAUGAAAAAAGUUGCUGACCCCUCCUCUAGAUCUUCAACGAUGAGCUCUUCUGAAAGGAAAAGAAGAGAAGGCUAGCAGUUAGAGAGACUUUCUUAUAUACACUGAACAUAUACAUGGAAAUAGAUAUGACCUUCAUCUUUGCUCUUCUGUCUCAUGGGGGGGGGAGGAAUUAGGAGCCUACAGGGAAACAAAGAGCCACAUGCCAUAAGAUUAUUUAUCUAAACCUCAAAAUAGGCCUCAGACAGAGACCUUUCCUAAGAAACCUUAGGGACUGGCUGAAGUCUUACCUUUUGGGUCUUGUGGAAGAGGGUAUGGCGGGGUAAGGCGGGGGUGUGUGGGCGAGGGGGAAACAUUAUUUCGUCUGAGACGAAACACUCUUCUGAUCCUGGAAACCUCGAAAAGGAAAAGGAAAAUGUGAGAAAUGGGGCUCACAGUUAGUACUCUCCUGAUCCACAUCCCCAAACUGGUAUCUAAACCUCAAAAUAGGCCUCAGACAGAGACCACAUGGUCUGAGGGAUGAAAAAGGUUGCUGACCCUAAAUCAGCUGACCCUAAAUCAGCUGACCCUAAAUCUUCGAUGAUGAUGAAAGGAAAAGAAGAGAAGGCUGGCAGUUAGAGAGACUUUCUUAUAUACACUGAACAUAUACAUGGAAAUAGACAUGACCUUCAUCUUUGCUCUUCUGUCUCAUGGGGGGGGGGGAGGAAUUAGGAGCCUACAGGGAAACAAAGAGCCACAUGCCAUAAGAUUAUUCAUCUAAACCUCAAAAUAGGCCUCAGACAGAGACCUUUCCUAAGAAACCUGCAGGGUCUUACCUUUUGGGAUUUUUCAAAGAGGGAAUGGCGGGGUAAG